ACAGAAAGCCAGGGAUCGAAGGUCGAAGGAUCGGGGCUCAGCAAUGAACCCGGAGCUUUAGCCGACGAUGCCUCGUCCAAAGUCGCAGUACCCACAACCUAUCGGUUGCGCGCGUUGAGUAAAUCGCGGCGGCAACUGGCGGCGGGCCUGUAGCUCAGUUGGUUAGAGCACCGUCUUGAUAAGGCGGGGGUCGAUGGUUCGAAUCCAUCCAGACCCACCAACGGGACCGGGGCUGUAGCUCAGUUGGGAGAGCACCUGCUUUGCAAGCAGGGGGUCGUCGGUUCGAUCCCGUCCAGCUCCACCAAUCGCGAGUGCUCAACGAGAAAGGCCAGAGCCAAGCGUCGUCGCUUCGCUCUGGUUUUUUACCAGGCUUCUGUUGACCGAAGCAUCGGUUGUUCUUUAACAAUCAGGAAGACGUAAAGGGCACAUGACGCAGUUGGUCAUGUGCCGGGUUGAUUGUAUGCGGGUGGCAGCGAAGGCUGUUGCCCGAAACGCAAACACCCGUGACGCGUAGUGUGUAGCGUUAUGG
RNAcentral lists this transfer RNA (529 nucleotides) under uncultured bacterium. Its description in RNAcentral is "16S-23S ribosomal RNA intergenic spacer". The stretch from base 144 to 217 matches the Rfam family "tRNA". The record is from RNAcentral.